UACGGGAGGCAGCAGGGGGGAAUAUUGCACAAUGGGCGCAAGCCUGAUGCAGCCAUGCCGCGUGUAUGAAAAAGGCCUUCGGGUUGUAAAGUACUUUCAGUCGUGAGGAAGGUGUUAAGGUUAAUAACCUUAGCAAUUGACGUUAGCGACAGAAGAAGCACCGGCUAACUCCGUGCCAGCAGCCGCGGUAAUACGGAGGGUGCGAGCGUUAAUCGGAAUUACUGGGCGUAAAGGGCACGCAGGCGGUUAAUUAAGUUGGAUGUGAAAUCCCCGGGCUUAACCUGGGAAUGGCAUUCAAGACUGGUUAGCUAGAGUCUUGUAGAGGGGGUAGAAUUCCAUGUGUAGCGGUGAAAUGCGUAGAGAUGUGGAGGAAUACCGGUGGCGAAGGCGGCCCCUGGACAAGACUGACGCUCAUGUGCGAAAGCGUGGGGAGCGAAACAGGGAUUAGGAUACCCGU
RNAcentral lists this ribosomal RNA (457 nucleotides) under uncultured bacterium. RNAcentral describes it as "bacterial SSU rRNA". It matches the Rfam family "Bacterial small subunit ribosomal RNA", at positions 340 to 789 of the family's 1533-position model. The record is from RNAcentral.